RNAcentral lists this ribosomal RNA (468 nucleotides) under uncultured bacterium. Its description in RNAcentral is "partial 16S ribosomal RNA". It matches the Rfam family "Bacterial small subunit ribosomal RNA", at positions 28 to 507 of the family's 1533-position model. The record is from RNAcentral.
GACGAACGCUGGCGGCGUGCUUAACACAUGCAAGUCGAACGGAAAGGCCCUGCUUUUGUGGGGUGCUCGAGUGGCGAACGGGUGAGUAACACGUGAGUAACCUGCCCUUGACUUUGGGAUAACUUCAGGAAACUGGGGCUAAUACCGGAUAGGAGCUCCUGCUGCAUGGUGGGGGUUGGAAAGUUUCGGCGGUUGGGGAUGGACUCGCGGCUUAUCAGCUUGUUGGUGGGGUAGUGGCUUACCAAGGCUUUGACGGGUAGCCGGCCUGAGAGGGUGACCGGCCACAUUGGGACUGAGAUACGGCCCAGACUCGUACGGGAGGAAGCAGUGGGGAAUAUUGCACAAUGGGCGGAAGCCUGAUGCAGCAACGCCGCGUGCGGGAUGACGGCCUUCGGGUUGUAAACCGCUUUCGCCUGUGACGAAGCGUGAGUGACGGUAAUGGGUAAAGAAGCACAGGCUAACUACGUG